GAGGAGUGAUGACCACAUACUUUGGUCCGUGUUCCUGAUCUGCCUCAUGGCAAUGAAAUUGCUCAAAGUUCUGACCUC
This is a small nucleolar RNA of Phytophthora infestans T30-4, 78 nucleotides long. It matches the Rfam family "Small nucleolar RNA SNORD18". From Rfam's summary of the family: U18 is a member of the C/D class of snoRNA which contain the C (UGAUGA) and D (CUGA) box motifs. It is encoded in introns of ribosomal protein L1 in Xenopus and human, and in introns of elongation factor 1 beta in yeast. The record is from Rfam. Lineage: Eukaryota; Oomycota; Peronosporomycetes; Peronosporales; Peronosporaceae.